RNAcentral lists this ribosomal RNA (324 nucleotides) under uncultured eukaryote. RNAcentral describes it as "partial 18S ribosomal RNA". It matches the Rfam family "Eukaryotic small subunit ribosomal RNA", at positions 1470 to 1796 of the family's 1831-position model. The record is from RNAcentral.
CCCUUAGAUGUUCUGGGCUGCACGCGCGCUACACUGAUGCGAUCAACAAGUUUUUCCUAUGUCGAUAGACACGGGUAAUCUUUUGAACUCGCAUCGUGAUGGGGAUAGAUUAUUGUAAUUAUUAAUCUUCAACGAGGAAUUCCUAGCAGGUGCAAAUCAUCAGUUUGCAUCGAUUACGUCCCUGCCCUUUGUACACACCGCCCGUCGCUGCUACCGAUUGGUUGAUCUGGUGAAUUAUUCGGACUGCCGGCUGAAGGGGUUUCCUCAUCUGCCAGCGGAAAGUCUUGUUAACCCUAUCAACUAGAGGAAGCAGAAGUCGUAACA